UACGAGAGGUGCAAGCGUUAUUCGGAAUUAUUGGGCGUAAAGGGUGCGUAGACGGUAUGCUAAGUCAACUGUUAAAUUCCCCGGCCUAACCGGGGGCAAGCGGUAGAAACUGAUGUACUAGAGGGUGGAAGAGAGAAGUGGAAUUCUCGGAGUAGCGGUAAAAUGCGUAGAUCUCGAGAGGAACACCGAUGGCGAAGGCAGCUUCUUGGUCCACAUCUGACGUUGAGGCACGAAAGCGUGGGGAGCAAACAGG
Molecule: ribosomal RNA, 253 nt
Filed under: uncultured bacterium
Lineage: Bacteria
Description: partial 16S ribosomal RNA
Rfam family: Bacterial small subunit ribosomal RNA
Source: RNAcentral